This 5716-nucleotide long non-coding RNA is filed under the name Nicotiana tabacum (common tobacco). RNAcentral's name for it is "long non-coding RNA (NTAB_LNC017156)". Lineage: Eukaryota; Viridiplantae; Streptophyta; Magnoliopsida; Solanales; Solanaceae. The record is from RNAcentral.
GGCAUUUCAUCCAGCACUGCCCAACAAAUGGUGACCCAAAUUAUGACAUUAAGAAAGUGAAACCUCCAACUGGCAUUCCAAAGUCCAUGUUGAUGGCAACCCCAGAUGGUUCAUAUGCUUUACCAAGUGGUGCUGUUGCAGUUUUAAAGCCCAAUGAGUAAGAUUUCCUGUCAUAGGUAUUGUUGAAUGCUUGCUUGUAACAAGAAUGUGUAUGACUAGCCACUUGUUGUAGGGCUGCUUUUGAUAGAGAAGUUGAAGGGAUGCCUUCUAUACGCUCCGUUGGUGAUCUUCCACCAGAACUUCAUUGUCCCUUGUGUAAAGAAGUAAUGAAAGAUGCGGUGCUAACAAGCAAGUGUUGUUUUACGAGUUUCUGCGAUAAAUGUAAGGAGCUUGCUGUUUAAUUGGAUCAUAGUGUUGUUUAAAGAGUUUUUGCUAAAAAUGUCAGUAGCUUGGUGUGUAAUAUGAAGCUAGUUUUGUUGCUGCUACGAUGAAUUUAAGGAGUUGUUUGUUCAAUUUUAAUGUGUCCUAUAUUCUUGAAUUUUGAAUUGAUCUCAAGGGUUAUCCGCAGGCAUAAGGGAUUAUAUCAUCUCAAAGUUGAUGUGCAUCUGUGGGGCCACAAGUAUACUUGCUGAUGACCUGUUGCCUAACAAGACUUUGAGGGAUACAAUAAAUAGAAUACUGGAAUCAAAUAAUAGCAGUGCAGAGCAUGGGGGUAGUGCUCUUCAAGUUCAAGGUUGGUACUGGUUUUAACUCUCUGAACCGUUCUCUUGCUCAAGUCCAUUAUCAUUUUGAUUUUCAAUGGCUUACAUCUUGUCUUUGUUAUCACAUGUUCCAGAUAUGGAGUCAGCACGCAAUCUCCCACCUAAGAUUCCAUCUCCUUCACAAUCUGCAGCUUCAAGGGGAGAGCUGUUGCCACCACCUUCUCAUAAGGAGGAAACUUCUAAAGUCCAGGAGACUGCUGAGGAGGGUAAGAAUGGCAGUGCACCACAGCAAAUGGUGGAGAGAGGCAGGACUUCGAAGGUUGCAGAUAUUUCUGAAGCCACACAUGAGUCAGUUAGUGUUAAAGAACCUGCAUCCCAGGGAAGUGCUCCAUUGGCUGAUGAAGAAGUUCAACAAAAGCAUGUAGCUGCGGAGGCAGGUAAUGAUGCUCUUUUGUUCACUUUUUUGGCCUCGUAAGUCAUUGGUUGUAUCUUACCGAGCAGCCUAGAGGAGAUUCUUGGUUUCAUAUAUUCCUUGGAUGAGUUCUCAUCAAUUUCUAUUUUUUUUUUCAGCAAAGAAAAAGAAGAAGAAGAAAGCACGCCUGCCAUUGAACCGUAUGCACAUUUCCCUUCCUGUUGUGCACGGAUCGAUAUAUCUGUUAGUUCUUUUUGGAAUAGAGCUUCGAUUAUUAUGUCUGCAAUCUUGAUGGAUCUGUUCCCUGAUUUACUUGAUGCCCUUGCAGCUGCUGUUGCGGAGAUGCAGUGGAGAGCUGCUCAAGAUCAUCUCGCUGCUGAGAAUUACAUGAUGUCCAUGGGUCCUUCUGCGUAUAAUAAUCCUUAUUGGACAGGCAUGCAACCUGGACUAGAUGGGUUUGCAGCCCCUUAUCAUGGUGCCAUGCCGUACAAUCCUUAUGGGUUUGGCCCUCUAGAUGUUCCAUUUGUCCCUCCUGUCUUACCACAAGAUCCAUUUGGUGGACAAGGUUUUAUGUUGCCUUUCGGUCCUCCAAUGCAGAGGUACAACUUGUGUUGCCUUUUAUCCUGAAUUUCUAUCCUAAUCUCUGAUCAAGUGUUUACACAUGUUCCUAACCCCUUCUCACAGUUUUUGGUAAUGGAUAUUCAGUCUGGUUCUGAUGUUGUAGUUUAAUUACUUUCAUGUUCAUGUAUCUAUAUGUGUCGGCUCCUAUGAGAUUUGGAUUACCUGACUGGUUUAAAAAUGACCACCAAAUUUUAGGGAUCUUGCAGCAGAGUUUGGGAUGGGAUUUAAUGCUGGCCCACCAAUCAUGAGCAGAGAAGAGUUCGAGGCUAGAAAGGCUGAUCUGAAAAGGAAGCGUGAGAUCGAGAGACGGGGAGAGAGGUAAUUUAACCUACCUGGUUUUCUGUUCCUGUUAAUUCACAGCACAAUAUGGUGCUAUUUCCGUUGGUGAUGUUAAAAUCACAUCAAAUGAUCUGAGCACUGCGUAUUGAGGUUUUCCAAAGAAUGUUCAUGCCUUAAUUUCAUGGCAUCCCAUUAUGGAGCUAUUUUGGUGUGUGAUAUCAAAAUUUUCUUAAAUGCUGAGUUUUGAAUAUUGAGGUUUUUGCAGUAUGUGUGCGCUUUAAGUAUCUCUGUCCAACUUAAUUUUCUCUACUUGAAGGCAUGCUGAAAUCAGGCACAAUCUAAUUAUAUCCUCAUAUUUUGUCCUCUUUGGUUUGUUUUUAUUGUCAAGAGUCAUUAUCUAUUAUGCUUCUACUUUUUGACGCACUUUCAAUGAAUUUAGCAAUAUCUUGUGUUAUAUCCAGCAGGGAGUUCUCUAAAGACAGGGAACAUGCAAGGGAAGUUGGCAGCGGUGCUGAUGGUCCUUCCGUGAAAUCCAAAUCUGUAUGUAUCUUGCUUGCCAAAUAUUCCAGUCUAUUUUAUCCCUAUAUUUUAGUAGAUGGGUUUGCGUUAAGAGAAAAUUUGGCUAACAACCUGUUUAUCCAAGAAGCAGCUAAGAGUUUAUUUCCAGUUUCAUCUUUCAAUUACCAGGGACAGUCAAAAAAGAAGCAAUCUCCCCCCCCCCCCCAAAAAAAAAACCCCACCCACCCAAAAAAAAAAAAAGCAGUCUCAGAGAUUGAAUUUCUAGCAUCUCUUUUCUAAUAGUAUUAAGUACAGGACACACACUCUGGACUACCUUAAUAUGGGGUUCUGGAGAAUUAAGAUUAUAGUUUGCCCAUUGUGCUGGAAGGGAAUAUACGAUUUCCUAACCCUAGUUGGUGCUCCUUUUGAAUGAUGAUGAUGCCUGAUGGCGAAAAAUAUCGUCACAGUUUCUGGUUGCCCUCAGUAAAAUGGGCAGUUGACUGGAGCUCAAUCAGGAUGGUGCACAUUAACAUGUUGAUUUACAUUUCUUUUGCUAGUUAUUAGUCUGUUCCGGUUCCUGUAUGUUGGAUGUGGUGGACAAUGGCCAUUAAGUGAUUUUGUUCCCUCAUUUUCUUUUCUGUUUUUUCUAAAAUUUCAAACCUUUUCCCAAUGGCACUAGGCCUGGAGUUCUACUCUUUUUGUGGCGAAACUGUUUGCCUAAUUUGGCCAAAAACUUUAAAGUGAGUAAGCUAUUAAGAACAUGGAAAAAUGAUGAAGUGGAUAGGACUCCAAAAGUGUUCUAGACUAUUCUGUUGUAGAAUCAUUGAAGUGUAGUGGGGGAUGGGAUGAGCUAAAUCAUUUUCCCCGGAAUGUACUAAGGUGUAUUAGUCUAUCGGAAACAGCCUCUCUGCCCUAUCGGGGUAGGGGUAAGGUUUGCGUACACACUACCCUCCCCAGACCCCACUUAGUGGGACUUUACUAGGUCGUUGUUGUUGUUGUACUAAGGUGUAUUAAUUUUGAGUAUUUGCUAUGCCAGUAGGGGAAAAAGAGUAUUAUAAAGAGGUGUAAAAUCCUCUUCUUUUGUAGUGCAUGAUGUUUUUUACGGCUUUAGAUCUGCAUUUUGAUAUUUUAGAACAUUUUUUCUUUUUUGCAAUUUUUUGAUAUUAAUAUAUUCAUUGAUGAUUGCACAGAAAGCUAUUCCUCCUCAAUUGAGCUCCGGCCGUCCCCGCCGACCAGAGAGGCCAUCACCGGACCUUGAUCACCACCGCCAACUUGAGAGGCCAUCACCGGACCUUGACCACCACCGCCGACCUGAGAGGCAUUCGCCGGAGCUUGACCACCGCCGCCGACCUGAGAGGCCAUCACCUGACCUUGACUAUCACCGUCGGCCUGAGAGGCCAUCUCCAGACCGUCGAUCGCGAGAUCCUGAACUUCCUCGCCCUUCGUCCAAGAGAAAGUAUGAAGAUUAUGAUGAUCACCAUCAUGAGGACCGCCAUCGCCGUGACCACCAUGAGGACCGCCACCACCGUGAGCAUGCCCAUCGCAGUAGCAGUAGCCACCACCGUUCAAAAUCUUCAGCUAGUGUCAAACCAUCCUCCACUGGCCCAUCCGAGCCACCAGUGGUAGCGCCACUCAAAUCCAUGGAUAAGAAGAAGGUCAGUGUUUUUUCUCGCAUCAGUUUCCCAGCUGAAGAUGCACCAGCAGCUUCAAAGAAGCGAAAGGUGCCAUCCUCCAGUGAAGUGCCAGUGAGUUCCUCGGCGAGCCACCGGGGUACUACAUCAAAUGGGUAUCACGAAGAGUACAAAGCAGCUACUGGAUCAAGGAAGAGUGCUGCUGCAAGUGUGGAUUAUGAGAGCAGCGAUGAUGAUCGGCACUUCAAAAGAAGGCCUUCAAGGUACGAGCCAUCUCCACCACCGGCUUCUGAGUGGGAGGAAGAGAAGCAGGAGGGACCUCUUCCUAGGCAUAGCAAGGGGUCAAGGGAAAGAGGGUAAACUGGAUAGUAGUUUAUUGCAUUUUGCACUUCUCUGAUAUGUCAAUUCUUUGCAUUUUUCACAUAUCUUAUAUGUCAAUUAGCCAGUUUCUUGAGUUCUUUCCAGUAUCUGAUAUGCAAUAUUUAGAAUCUAAUAUAGGUGGCAACAUUACAUUGCUUGCUUUUUUUGUUUCUCAUUCUUUUGCCAUGGCCUGUAAUGGAGUUGAUUGUUCAUUUGUGCAUUAUGUGUUACUGUCUUACUUGACUCAAAGAUGUGUUAUUUACUGUCUGCGGCUUUACUUUUCACGGUUCGUUUAUCUAGAACAGAUGGUUUAACUAUUUAGAUAAACUCAAAGAGAAUAAAAGCAAAAUCAUUUAGUUGUGCAAAAUGUGGAGAUAAAUAGUGUACAUGAUGAUGACAUGUUUUUCCUUACUAAUUUCAUUUGGAAUUCACAUGAUGCUAUAUAUCACACACACAUGUAGAGAAUCCUCCUUUUCUUUUACUUGGUGUGGCACUAUAAAACAGAUAAUUCCAUAUCAGUGUUUGCUCGCUAGCUCAUGAUUAGAUAUUGUCACUUAGUGAGACAUUAUGGCACUAUCAGGAAAGACAAAUUGAUUUUUCAAUGUUCAUGUACACAAGAUAGAUCUCUCUUUCAUGGUGUAUUUGUGAGCAGCGAUGCAAAUCACUUGUCUGACAGGUGGGGCAUGAGUGAAGCAGAAUAUGUGCCCUUCUUUUAGCUUCUUCUGGUGGGUGUGUUGGUGAUGUUUUAUGGAUAGUUACUGAGAAUCUUGUUUGUCAUAUGGAUACAAAAAGAAUUUUGUUAGUUGUGAGCACUGGAAACCUCACCUCUUUCGUUGGCACCACACCCUCCCCCUUUCUUAUGAUGUUAAUAGAAAAUUGGUUGUUUUAGCUGGCAGCAAUGGUGACCUUCAAAAGAAUUCACUUGCAUCCUUUCUAGUUUCAGCUGUCGGCCAGUCCCAACAUUCUUACAAAAGUGUCCUGAGAAUGCCACUUAGAAAAUUGAUGCAAACUUUCUCAUAUUGUAUCCUGCAUUUAGAAAUCAAUGUUGAUGCUCGGCUUUUAUUCUUUUGUUCUGUUUUUUUCAAAUCUUCCUAUGGCUUUUUCAUUUGAACUGCCUAUGGACUUCCUUUUUGGUGCUUCAAUGUAGCCUCGUCAUUGAGUAUAUAUAUCUUUUUGCCAUUCCUGUGUUACCAUCACAAUGAUCUCAUGGAUCC